GAUGAACGCUGGCGGCGCGCUUAACACAUGCAAGUCGAGCGAGAAGUUUUGAAAAGAUUCUUCGGAUGAAAUUUAAAAUGGAAAGCGGCGGACGGGUGAGUAACGCGUAGGCAACCUGCCCCAUACAAAGGGAUAGCAUUUGGAAACGAAUAUUAAUACCUUAUGAAACUUAACUAGUGCAUGCUAGGUAGGUCAAAGAUUUAUCGGUAUGGGAUGGGCCUGCGUCUGAUUAGCUAGUUGGUGAGGUAACGGCUCACCAAGGCGACGAUCAGUAGCCGACCUGAGAGGGUGAACGGCCACAUUGGAACUGAGACACGGUCCAAACUCCUACGGGAGGCAGCAGUGGGGAAUAUUGCACAAUGGGGGAAACCCUGAUGCAGCAACGCCGCGUGAACGAUGAAGGCCUUUGGGUCGUAAAGUUCUGUUCUAGGUGAUGAAAACUGACAGUAACCGAGGAGAAAGCCCCGGCUAACUCCGUG
Molecule: ribosomal RNA, 479 nt
Filed under: uncultured bacterium
Lineage: Bacteria
Description: partial 16S ribosomal RNA
Rfam family: Bacterial small subunit ribosomal RNA
Source: RNAcentral